This 163-nucleotide ribosomal RNA is filed under the name Triticum aestivum (bread wheat). RNAcentral's name for it is "5.8S ribosomal RNA". It matches the Rfam family "5.8S ribosomal RNA". From Rfam's summary of the family: 5.8S ribosomal RNA (5.8S rRNA) is a component of the large subunit of the eukaryotic ribosome. The record is from RNAcentral. Lineage: Eukaryota; Viridiplantae; Streptophyta; Magnoliopsida; Poales; Poaceae.
ACACGACUCUCGGCAACGGAUAUCUCGGCUCUCGCAUCGAUGAAGAACGUAGCGAAAUGCGAUACCUGGUGUGAAUUGCAGAAUCCCGCGAACCAUCGAGUCUUUGAACGCAAGUUGCGCCCGAGGCCACUCGGCCGAGGGCGCGCCUGCCUGGGCGUCACGC